AUUGAACGCUGGCGGCAUGCUUUACACAUGCAAGUCGAACGGCAGCGCGGGCUUCGGCCUGGCGGCGGGUGGCGAACGGGUGAGUAAUGCAUCGGAACGUGCCCAGUAGUGGGGGAUAGCGCGGCGAAAGCCGGAUUAAUACCCCAUACGACCUGAGGGUGAAAGCGGGGGACCGGAAGGCCUCGCGCUCUUGGGGCGGCCGAUGUCCGAUUAGCUAGUUGGUGGGGUAAAGGCUUACCAAGGCGACGAUCCGUAGCUGGUCUGAGAGGACGACCAGCCACACUGGGACUGAGACACGGCCCAGACUCCUACGGGAGGCAGCAGUGGGGAAUUUUGGACAAUGGGGGCAACCCUGAUCCAGCCAUGCCGCGUGCGGGAAGAAGGCCUUCGGGUUGUAAAGCGCUUUUGUUCGGGAAGAAAUCCUCUGGGCUAAUACCCCGGGGGGAUGACGGUACCGGAAGAAUAAGCACCGGCUAACUACGUG
This 484-nucleotide ribosomal RNA is filed under the name uncultured bacterium. Its description in RNAcentral is "partial 16S ribosomal RNA". It matches the Rfam family "Bacterial small subunit ribosomal RNA", at positions 28 to 507 of the family's 1533-position model. The record is from RNAcentral.